RNAcentral lists this ribosomal RNA (505 nucleotides) under uncultured bacterium. Its description in RNAcentral is "bacterial SSU rRNA". It matches the Rfam family "Bacterial small subunit ribosomal RNA", at positions 24 to 518 of the family's 1533-position model. The record is from RNAcentral.
UCAGGAUGAACGCUAGCGACAGGCUUAACACAUGCAAGUCGAGGGGCAGCACGGGAGUAGCAAUACAACUGGUGGCGACCGGCGCACGGGUGAGUAACGCGUAUGCAACCUACCUAUCAGGAGGGGAAUAACCCGGCGAAAGUCGGACUAAUACCGCAUAAAACAGGGGCACCGCAUGGUGAUAUUUGUUAAAGAAAUUCGCUGAUAGAUGGGCAUGCGUUCCAUUAGGUAGUUGGUGAGGUAACGGCUCACCAAGCCGACGAUGGAUAGGGGAACUGAGAGGUUGGUCCCCCACACUGGUACUGAGACACGGACCAGACUCCUACGGGAGGCAGCAGUGAGGAAUAUUGGUCAAUGGGCGGGAGCCUGAACCAGCCAAGUCCGCGUGAAGGAAGAAGGAUCUAUGGUUCGUAAACUUCUUUUGCAGGGGAAUAAAGUGCAGGACGUGUCCUGUUUUGUAUGUACCCUGAGAAUAAGGAUCGGCUAACUCCGUGCCAGCCGCCGC